Molecule: long non-coding RNA, 166 nt
Organism: Alligator sinensis (Chinese alligator)
Lineage: Eukaryota; Metazoa; Chordata; Crocodylia; Alligatoridae
Exons: 3
Source: RefSeq, a predicted model, not a curated record
UGGUCAUCCUGUCAUCAACUUUGUUGAAUUGGGAUAGACUGCUGGAUUUGGGUCCAAAGGAGGGAGGCUGGCUCAUGGAGAGGUGAAGUGACUCAUCCCAGGAUCCACAGGGAGUCAGAUAAGUUAACUCCAAACAACUGAGAGGGGGGCAACGUCCCUUGUCCUG